Molecule: ribosomal RNA, 429 nt
Filed under: Actinomycetes bacterium
Lineage: Bacteria; Bacillati; Actinomycetota; Actinomycetes
Description: Actinobacteria bacterium partial 16S ribosomal RNA
Rfam family: Bacterial small subunit ribosomal RNA
Source: RNAcentral
UAGGGAAUCUUCCGCAAUGGGCGAAAGCCUGACGGAGCAACGCCGCGUGAGUGAUGAAGGUCUUCGGAUCGUAAAACUCUGUUAUUAGGGAAGAACAAAUGUGUAAGUAACUAUGCACGUCUUGACGGUACCUAAUCAGAAAGCCACGGCUAACUACGUGCCAGCAGCCGCGGUAAUACGUAGGUGGCAAGCGUUAUCCGGAAUUAUUGGGCGUAAAGCGCGCGUAGGCGGUUUUUUAAGUCUGAUGUGAAAGCCCACGGCUCAACCGUGGAGGGUCAUUUGAAACUGGAAAACUUGAGUGCAGAAGAGGAAAGUGGAGUUCCAUGUGUAGCGGUGAAAUGCGCAGAGAUAUGGGGGAACACCAGUGGCGAAGGCGACUUUCUGGUCUGUAACUGACGCUGUUGUGCGAAAGCGUGUGGAUCAAACAGG